GAGGCGUGGCCGAGUGGUUGAAGGCACUUGUCUUGAAAACAAGAGAGCCGCAAGGUUCCGUGGGUUCAAAUCCUACCGCCUCC
This 83-nucleotide transfer RNA is filed under the name bovine gut metagenome. It matches the Rfam family "tRNA". From Rfam's summary of the family: Transfer RNA (tRNA) molecules are approximately 80 nucleotides in length. Their secondary structure includes four short double-helical elements and three loops (D, anti-codon, and T loops). The record is from RNAcentral.